GGAUAGCUCCCUUGGUUAGAGUGUGGUGCUAAUAAUGCCAAGGUUGCAGGUUCGAUCCCCGUAAGCGACA
RNAcentral lists this transfer RNA (70 nucleotides) under Podarcis lilfordi (Lilford's wall lizard). RNAcentral's name for it is "tRNA.Ile". The record is from RNAcentral. Lineage: Eukaryota; Metazoa; Chordata; Lepidosauria; Squamata; Lacertidae.